GGUUGGGCGUAAGCUUUCAAGACAUACUUUCCAAGGGUGAGGAAAG
This 46-nucleotide non-coding RNA is filed under the name Enterococcus saccharolyticus. Its description in RNAcentral is "Na+-I sequence". It matches the Rfam family "Na+ riboswitch aptamer (DUF1646)". Rfam says of the family: Proteobacteria, NC10, Acidobacteria, Verrucomicrobia. Lineage: Bacteria; Bacillati; Bacillota; Bacilli; Lactobacillales; Enterococcaceae. RNAcentral also lists the same sequence under 1 other name. The record is from RNAcentral.